RNAcentral lists this small RNA (1171 nucleotides) under Pan troglodytes (chimpanzee). RNAcentral describes it as "processed transcript". Lineage: Eukaryota; Metazoa; Chordata; Mammalia; Primates; Hominidae. The record is from RNAcentral.
ACAGAACAAACUGGAGUUAAGAAAUGUCGUUCUUCAGAUUUAAAAAGAAAACCUUUACUGAAUCAGCUGAGUGUUAAUAAUACGAAUUUCCUUUUCUUGCCAAUUCUGAUCUGAACAGAAAAACCAAGAACAGGGAUAUGUGUGGAUUACAGUUUUCUCUGCCUUGCCUACGACUGUUUCUGACUUGCAUCCAAGGGUCCUUAAGCCGUUGUCUUCAUUGAUUCAUCUUCAGGCAAAUUCUAAUCCUUGGGAAUGUAACUGCAAACUUUUGGGCCUUCGAGACUGGCUAGCAUCUUCAGCCAUUACUCUAAACAUCUAUUGUCAGAAUCCCCCAUCCAUGCGUGGCAGAGCAUUACGUUAUAUUAACAUUACAAAUUGUGUUACAUCUUCAAUAAAUGUAUCCAGAGCUUGGGCUGUUGUAAAAUCUCCUCAUAUUCAUCACAAGACUACUGCGCUAAUGAUGGCCUGGCAUAAAGUAACCACAAAUGGCAGUCCUCUGGAAAAUACUGAGACUGAGAACAUUACUUUCUGGGAACGAAUUCCUACUUCACCUGCUGGUAGAUUUUUUCAAGAGAAUGCCUUUGGUAAUCCAUUAGAGACUACAGCAGUGUUACCUGUGCAAAUACAACUUACUACUUCUGUUACCUUGAACUUGGAAAAAAACAGUGCUCUACCGAAUGAUGCUGCUUCAAUGUCAGGGAAAACAUCUCUAAUUUGUACACAAGAAGUUGAGAAGUUGAAUGAGGCUUUUGACAUUUUGCUAGCUUUUUUCAUCUUAGCUUGUGUUUUAAUCAUUUUUUUGAUCUACAAAGUUGUUCAGUUUAAACAAAAACUAAAGGCAUCAGAAAACUCAAGGGAAAAUAGACUUGAAUACUACAGCUUUUAUCAGUCAGCAAGGUAUAAUGUAACUGCCUCAAUUUGUAACACUUCCCCAAAUUCUCUAGAAAGUCCUGGCUUGGAGCAGAUUCGACUUCAUAAACAAAUUGUUCCUGAAAAUGAGGCACAGGUCAUUCUUUUUGAACAUUCUGCUUUAUAACUCAACUAAAUAUUGUCUAUAAGAAACUUCAGUGCCAUGGACAUGAUUUAAACUGAAACCUCCUUAUAUAAUUAUAUACUUUAGUUGGAAAUAUAAUGAAUUAUAUGAGGUUAGCAUUAUUAAAAUAUGUUUUUA